CCUACGGGAGGCAGCAGUGGGGAAUAUUGCGCAAUGGGCGAAAGCCUGACGCAGCGACGCCGCGUGAGGGAUGAAGGUCUUCGGAUCGUAAACCUCUGUCAGCAGGGAAGAACGGUCACGGUGCUAAGCAGCAGUGAAUUGACGGUACCUGCAAAGGAAGCACCGGCUAACUCCGUGCCAGCAGCCGCGGUAAUACGGAGGGUGCGAGCGUUAAGCGGAAUUACUGGGCGUAAAGCGCGCGGAGGCGGUAUGUCAAGUCAAGGGUGAAAUCCCCGCGCUCAACGUGGGAACUGCCUUUGAAACUGGCAACCUGGAGUGUGUUAGAGGCUAGUUGAAUUCCAGGUGUAGCGGUGAAAUCCGUAGAUAUCUGG
RNAcentral lists this ribosomal RNA (371 nucleotides) under uncultured bacterium. Its description in RNAcentral is "partial 16S ribosomal RNA". It matches the Rfam family "Bacterial small subunit ribosomal RNA", at positions 338 to 701 of the family's 1533-position model. The record is from RNAcentral.